This is a small nuclear RNA of Macaca mulatta (Rhesus monkey), 103 nucleotides long. NCBI's taxonomy places the organism in Eukaryota, Metazoa, Chordata, Mammalia, Primates, Cercopithecidae. The record is from Ensembl.
GUGCUUGCUUCAGUAGCACAUAUGCUAAAAUACUAUGUAACAGAGAUUAGUAUAACUCCUGCACAAGGAUAAAACACAAAGUCAUAAACUGUCCCAUAUUUUG